Molecule: ribosomal RNA, 229 nt
Filed under: uncultured bacterium
Lineage: Bacteria
Description: partial 16S ribosomal RNA
Rfam family: Bacterial small subunit ribosomal RNA
Source: RNAcentral
CGUGUAGGCGGCUUGGCAAGUCUGGUGUGAAAUCUUGGGGCUCAACCCCAAGCGUGCACUGGAAACUGCCUCGCUAGAGUCCGGGAGAGGAGAGCGGAACUCCGAGUGUAGCGGUGAAAUGCGCAGAUAUUCGGAAGAACACCAAUGGCGAAGGCAGCUCUCUGGAACGGUACUGACGCUGAGACGCGAAAGCGUGGGGAGCGAACAGGAUUAGAUACCCUGGUAGUCC